GAAAAAAUUGAGGAACCCGUUUGCCCUUACCCAAUGUCUUCGUUGAUCGCUUUACUCACGGCUGUGGCGAUUCCUCCGGCCAUCCUUAGUGUAACUUAUUUUGCGCUUCCACCGUCAUCACACUUCUAUGGCCGGAAGCUCUAACGCCAUUUACUGUUCCGUUAAUAUUAUUUUAUAUUUAUUUUUUUUGGAAGUUGAUGAGAUGCUUGUUCUUCGUUUGAGCAAGGGAACAAUCGUCUCCCACCUUCUAUUAAUUCCGGCAGAAUGAUGGAAAAUGGUAUGUCUUGGUUUGCUUCUUUGGUUUAUGGACUUGUUUAUUUGGAAGAAGAAUUCAACGAAGUUGGAGGAAGAAUACCCUAAUUCAUCAGCAAAGGGCCUGGUCAUAGUCCACAUUUUGUGUCGGGUCUAAAUAGAGGGCUUCUACACCAGGAAAAUAUUAGAUGCAUUAGAGCAAGUAAUUGGCCAACCCAUACUCAACCAACGAACAAAUGCUGCUCCAUUGAUAUCUGUCCUUGACGUAGUACUUGAGAUAUCCUUGACGUAGUACUUGACCAGGCUCGACCCAAAAUUAAUGAACUUGAGCAAGUACAACUUGAGCAAUGGGAAGUGGUGCUUCUGCUUCUGAUGCAACAGGGAAUGCUGCUGGUGUGAGAAUAGUAGUCGCUGGGGACGCAAAGAUGGGGAAUUGAGCUUGAUAGUCACGGCUGCGGCGGAAAAUUUUCCAAUCAAUGCUUCUCCGAUCCAGUCACCUACAAAGCCAUUGGAAGACAUCUACCUGGACCACAUCCCCCGUCGCCAUUAUUGAUAUCCUUCAGGUCCUCAAUUUCCUAAUGGAUUUAUUUAUGCUUAUAAUCCCAAUUACACGUCACUUGUAUUUGUAUGGCUUUAUACAGGAAAAAGUUAAUGUACUUGGACAACUAAAUGAAUUUGAACUUUUAUUCUUCUUAUUGUGUUGCUAGCUUUCACUUCA
Olea europaea var. sylvestris is the source of this 970-nucleotide long non-coding RNA. RefSeq lists it as uncharacterized. The record is from RefSeq and is a predicted model, not a curated record. The transcript has 2 exons. NCBI's taxonomy places the organism in Eukaryota, Viridiplantae, Streptophyta, Magnoliopsida, Lamiales, Oleaceae.